GGCGAAGCUCCGUCGGCAGCACCGUGUGCGUCUGCCGCCCCGAACUGCCGUCGUCCCGCUGUAAAACGAGACGUGAGGGCCCUGUCUAGCCGUGGCUUGCUGGCAGGCUCCCAAAAUGAAGAAAAAAGUGAAGAAAAGCCCCCGGCCCAUCCAGCAGCUGCAGCAGGUUGCUGUCCCUGGGUCCCUCACCAGCCUGGGCCCUGCGGACCACAUCAGGCCCAUUGCACACUGUUUAGCAGCCGGAGCGUCCUUAACAGGAUUUACAUCUAACAGCAUUACGGGUUCUUUCCAACCAGGCCUCACCAAUUCUGUCCUCAGCUCACCUACGAUGAGAAAGCAGAGCAUCUGUGCUGUUUCCUGAUUGUAUAAAAUACUGGGAAAUGCUGCCGCAGACUGGAAUCUCCAUCAGAUUGCCAGAUGUCCUGAAUAUCCAGAAUUCUGUCUUUGCCUUUCUCAUUUUAGCUGGCUGACAUGCUGACCCAGUCAGGCAGCACAAGUGGGAUCCAGGUCCUCCCGUUGCUGAAGGAAGCGCCCAGGAACGAGGCUGCAGGAUUAAGGAGGAAGUGGAGGUUUUAAUGAAGCAGAAUCCAUUCUUUGGUGGGGUGAAGGGAGCUGUCUCGUGGUGCCCUCUCGAGGUGGAGAGCUGCUCGUUUCAUUCACUGUUUAGAGCAGCAGGGAUGCGGACUGGAAGCGCAGCCCUUGCUGAAGAAGCUGAGAAAUCAGUUUGCUUUGGAAAAGAACCACUGCAGUAACUCCACGCAAAGUUGGUGGGUUCUGGAUUCCAUUUAAAAGCGCACACUGAUCCCUCUGCCUCCAACUUUUUUGUGAAAGCCAAAGGUGUUUCUCCCCUGUGUGAGAGCCGAUCAAAGUUAAAGGCUGCCUGCUUCCAUGAGGGCAGGGACACACUUCCCACAGUGUGCUCAUUUCCCUUGAAGUCUAGGAUAUGUUUGGGUAAUAAGGGGAUCCGAAACCUCGAUGCAUUAGGAAGGCCAGCCUCUGGCUUCAAGUUAAAUAGAGGGCCCUGUGCUUGUGGGAGAAAGCCUUGCAUGGCCUGGGAAGCUGAGCGGAGGGAUGCAAUCACUGCUGCUCUGUGAAGGACUACAAACUGCAGGCUUCCUGUUAACAGCAAUUAUCAGAUGAUUGGGUUGGAAACAUCUUUUGCCAUGCGACGGCAGAUUCUCCUUUCCAAAGGCCUCAUCUUAAAUCCAGCAAGGAGUGAGGAUUAUCAGUGCCAUAAGUCCUUUAGACUCAUUGAAUGCAUUACAUUUGUUUUGGACUGAGAUGGGUAGAAGCUGAGUGUUUUGGGGCAAGGACUCCAUCUGACAGAUGAGUAUGCUGUGGGUGCGUGCUGUUUUAUCAGUAGGCUGCCGUUCUGCUGCGUUGGAUAAAUUUCACCUGUGUCCACUUUGCUGUCACCUUUUCACAGGAUCUUUCUGAGUCAUCCCAGGCUACUCCCACCCGAUAUGGGUUAGACACAGGAGGCAAUUGCUGGCUGUAUUUUGUCGAAGUCCUUUCAGACCUCCUGCCACACCAAAUUGUCCCAACAGCAGCACUCACUGGAAGUCUGUUAUGUUCAUUGGACCAACAUUGAUUCAGCUGCACCCUUCAGGCCAGAUAGCCACAGAGGGCUUGAGAUGGCCAUGCUUUCAGAACUAGGAGGCAGUGGAGGCUGUGGCUACCAGAGAAGGCAGCUCACACAGAUUAGGUGCAACAAAGUGGGCUGAUGAAUGCUGCACCUUAGCAAGUGGCCUUUUUUUCCUUCUGAUAGCAAGACAGCUGUGGUCUUCAGAGACACCUGGGGAACAAGAUUUCCUGAAGGGUUUUUCUUUUUUGGUCUGAUUUUCUUCUGCUUUUACUAUAGAAGGCAGACUUCAUGAACUACAGCACCUCCUCUGUCCAUCUUUUAUGUGCAGCUUGGUUUUAGAGGUUAGAAGGUUUUUCAUCCAUUGAUUUUGUGCUCAUCAUGGAUAUGUUUUAAAAACACUCUUAAAAAAAAAGUCCCCACUUCUCAUGGAUAAAUUUUGAUGGGGAUGGUGGGAAAUAAAUGUAAACAACUGCUGAAUGACAUGCGGAAUCUGAUAGCACAAAUCCCCUCUGCAGAGCUGUAAAUUGACUCAAAGCUCCUGUUGUGUGGAAAAGAACUCUUGGGCCCAACGAGGGGUAAGAUGUUAAUAAAACCUUUGUUCACUGCUACAAUAGGGAGCAGCUAAGUGUGGUUUGGGGUUUCUGCCAAGUUAACCCUGACUUAUUCCCAUUGUCAGAAGUACUGCUAAGAAACCCUUUAAUGUGUUAUUAAGGGUGAAAUAUGAAAAAUAGUAUUUUUCAUUUCCAAUGCUCUGUUUAAAGCAGAAGUGUUCAUUGUAAGAACAUCCUUUAUUCCCUUUCCCCACUGCUACACUCAGUGCUUUAAAGAAAAUUCACAUUUUGUGUGGCACUAAUUUUCUUCUUGUUGGAAAAAAAGUUGCUUAUGUGGUCUGAAACUGCCACCAUCUUUAAUAUGGCCAGAGUCUUAUUUAAGAUGAAAGUGCAGGUGUUCUGAGCCCCUAAACACAUGCUAACCUGGCUUACUUGAUCGUUCCUUUGCCUGUGGCCUGUUAGUCACUGCCCAACCAUGGUCUCUUGCCCUGUUCUCAGCUCCUUAGGUCAGGAUGCAUGUGCAGUGCGUUCAGAUCCAUGCACGGGUUUGCAAUGGUAACUCAAAUAAUAAUCAAGUUGUGAAAAAUAAGACAGUAUGCAUUUCAACAAGUUCAAUUUUUAUUUCUCCAGUGAAGAAAUGUGAGAGAAAGAAAGCUUCUGUCUGCAGUCCUGCCCUUUAUUUGCAACUGCGCUGCUAGGGAUUCAGAGGCUGUAGAAGGCAGCAUUUCGAUGUAUCUCCACUAGAGGCCAAGCGUGGUGUGAUGACACCUGGUGUCAUCUUGGCAACCAGGGAAAAAAUAAAGGAGGUGGAAGGUCUAAGCUGGGCGCUCUGGUGGAGUCAAGGUGUCUUGGGAGCUGAGUGCACAGAGCUCCAGCCAUACGUUUAAAAGCAGCCUGGUGUCACAGCCACAUUCCUUCCAGCCCUCGUACCUUUCCUUGCCCUCUGUGCCACCCGCUCGUCUGAGGAAAGGUGGCAUCUAACCAAAACACACUUUUGGUGCUUUCAAUUAUAAAUCUUUACUCCAUUCUCAAAAUGUUUCCACUUGUUUUCUUGGCAGGACCUUGAGGAUCUCUCUUGAGAGUUCCGUUCACGUAGAUAUGCACAAAAGGAACAGUUUAUCUCCAGCUCCUGCUGACUUCCAUGAAUAAUUUGUUGUAAAAGCUAAGUUGAACUUCUGCAGUCUUGAGUAACUUUGGAGUACCAGUUUCUAAUAUUCCAGCCACAGACCUAAGCAGCCUUUCUACUUUUAGAGGCCAAAGCGGCCUCUCUGAUCUCCACUUAUCUGUAACCACCUUGGAAAUUUCCACUCCUUUUCCCUCCUUUUGGGUUCCCCAUAAAACCAAGAGCUCCUCACUGGCAGAACUUCCCUUCUGAAUUAAAACUUAAACAAAGAUUUGAUGGAACAAAGAUUUGAUGGGUCUUUACUCUUUCUUCUUCAUCGCUCAAAGUGCAUGCCAGGAAAUACUGUGCUGACAUAGGAAGGUGAGCAGCUGUUUUACAGGGUGUAUUCAUACACCCAGUCUCACUGAAGGCAAACAGAAUUGCUUAUCUGAGUAAUGCCACACAUGUGCCCGAGUGAUUGCAAAGGACUGAAAGGAGUUGGGAGUAGAAAUAAUAGCACUGCUUCAUCUCUCACAGAGCAGCGCCAACAAAAUAAUGAAGCUGCAUGAAUAAAGAACCAACAUAAUAAUCGGGCUGCCACCAUUUUUGGAAAAUUAGCACUUCUUCCAUAACAGUAACGGCUGCUGGGAAAAUGGUACAAAAUAUAACUGUCAGGUUAAGCACACCUUAAUCAACAUGCGCCGAGUCCCACUGAUGUGUCCUCAAAACUGUUACUUAAGGACUUGUUAAAGCCAAUUAAAUAAACAAAAUUUUACAGCCUAAUAGCAUAAACCACAUAAAUAACAUAAAAGAGCCAUAAUGGCUGAAUGGGUGAGUGUUUAGCCCUUCCUGAUUUAAAACAGUGAAGUGAAAAAUGUUGCAGCCCUUGAAGGUGAUUUUGAAGAUGAGGAAGUGACUGUGCUACACAAACAGCAAUCAGAGACAAUUAAGAGAACUGGGACAAGUGCCUCAUUCUCUCCACAGACUGCAUGGGAAAUUGCACUUUACAUUUCAGUCUCGUUGCAUUUAAAAUAAGGCCCCCAGCUAUGUCAUUUUUCAAGUCCAACUCAAAUCAAAAGAUGUUGCUUAAAAUCUUCCUAUUACUCCAGAAGUGAAAAGAAUGAUUGUCUAUGCUGAUGAGCCCAGAAGAUUGUCUUGGAAAGACUUUGGCAGUUUUGUCUCCCAGUCAUUAUAAUGUUAUUACUGCUCCUGAAGAAGACUGACAGAGCCUGAAUGCCACAAUAAGUACUGGGGCAGUUUUCAUGUUGUUUCCCUGCCAGCAGAGAAACUGUGCUGUGCUGUGCGUCUGUUUUCUUUUAGAGCUUCAUCUGAUGAAGAAUCUUCGACUGCACAGAAACAAAACAACAGAAAAUAAAGGCAAGCUAAGAACAGCCCAUAAAAAAAUUGAAAGAAUGCAAAUAGGGAAUUUUGGCAAUAAUGCAAUUAGACAUGUCUAUAUAUAAUUAUAACCUGUAUAAAUAUAACCCUAUCCAUAGACAGGUCCCGAGCACACACAGCCCUUGGGCAGCACCUGCUCAAAACCUUUCUGGUAAGCAUGGAAAGAUUUCAGUACAAAAUGGAGAGGUGUUCUGAAGCGGUCAGGUUGCCUCGCUUUGGCAGUCAUUGUUUUGUGAAGACAGGAGCACACUGAGCUUUCAGAGCUCAUACAGCUCCUCUGAUUUGUCUUAAAUUGUGAUGCCUAGAAAUGAGCGCCUCAGCUUUAAAGGUGCUUAAAGACAGAUGUAAGUGACCAGCUUUCCCACGGUGCAAACCAUAGAGCCAUCUAGGAUGUAAAGGACCUGUAGGGUCAUCCAGUCAAACUAGCAGCCUGACCUACCAGGUCCCAUCGCUACGCCAUGUCCAGCAGUGCCACAUCCACACCUCCUACAUACCUCCAGCGAUGGGGACUCUGCUGCCUCCUUCAGCAGCCUGUUCCAAAGCUUAACCACCUGCUCUGUGAAGAAAAUACUCUCAAUGUCCAAUCUAAACUUCCCUUGGUGCGACUGGAGGCUGUUUCCUCACAUCCUGUCACGUUACCUGGGAAAAGAGACCAACACCCUCCUUGCUGCAAACUCCUUUCAGACAGCUCUAGAGCACGAUGAAGCCUCCCCUCAGCCUCCUCUUCUCCAGAAUGAGCAGCCCCAGUUCCUUCAGCUGCUCUGUCUUGGAUUUGGAGACGUAAGGAGCAGCAGAGUACGAGUAUCAUUAAUAUGUUUAUUUUUUAAAGUUGUUUUUUUUCCUAAUG
Lagopus leucura (white-tailed ptarmigan) is the source of this 5483-nucleotide long non-coding RNA. RefSeq lists it as uncharacterized. The transcript is spliced from 4 exons. Lineage: Eukaryota; Metazoa; Chordata; Aves; Galliformes; Phasianidae. The record is from RefSeq and is a predicted model, not a curated record.